CUGGCCCUACGGGAGGCAGCAGUGAGGAAUAUUGGUCAAUGGGAGAGAUCCUGAACCAGCCAAGCCGCGUGAGGGAAGACGGCCCUAUGGGUUGUAAACCUCUUUUGUCGGAGAACAAAACCCGGGACGUGUCCCGGACUGCGUGUAUCCGAAGAAAAAGCAUCGGCUAACUACGUGCCAGCAGCCGCGGUAAUACGUAGGGGGCAAGCGUUAUCCGGAUUUACUGGGUGUAAAGGGAGCGUAGACGGCCAUGCAAGUCUGAUGUGAAAACCCGGGGCUCAACCCCGGGACUGCAUUGGAACAUG
Molecule: ribosomal RNA, 305 nt
Filed under: uncultured bacterium
Lineage: Bacteria
Description: bacterial SSU rRNA
Rfam family: Bacterial small subunit ribosomal RNA
Source: RNAcentral